AUAAAGCAAAGAAGCAGAACCUGAGGACAUAUCUUGCUAGCGGGUGCAUAAAAUAAAUAUGCAUACAUAAAGCACGGAUGCUCCUGACACAGUUCAAACCUUGGGGGCUGGAUGCUGAGAUGCUGAAUGUCUGGUCACUGAUGAUGGAGCAGGAUAAUGUGGGGGAGGAGCUUGGUGGGGCGACUCUCCCUGCUUGGAGUGCGUUGCCUCUGAGAUGACUCUGCAAAAUGCACACUGACCUCUGCUUUGGUUUUUGCCUCUUUCAUAACAGCAGAAAUUCUCUUCAGAUUUUUUUCAGUUAUCAAAAACAUGCUGAUGUGGGCCUUUCACAAAAGCAAAGUAACAUCAAGUAGACUUUUGAAAAGUGGGGGAUACGUGUAGCCGCCUCUGCAGCUGUUUCCGUUCUUCUUGAUCACCAAGUGGACGCUCUCAUCCUUCCCUUGAGGCUGUUGAUCUGAAUUAUUCCUCAGGGCCACAUGCUUGACUUCUCCAAGUGGAAACGCUUAAAGCAAACUGCAGGUGUGUUCUCUUUAUUAACGUUGGACCUCAAACUACUUCCUUCAUCUGAAUGCCAUCCUCACCUAGACAUCAACAUAAAGGUCUCCAAAGUACAUAUUUAGGAAAAGAGCUUUGGGCAGAAAAGACAGUCAUCUUACACUGGUAAGUCCCCUAAUUCAACUCAUGUAAAAAUGUG
RNAcentral lists this long non-coding RNA (694 nucleotides) under Sus scrofa (pig). Its description in RNAcentral is "lncRNA (ENSSSCG00070014553.1)". The record is from RNAcentral. Lineage: Eukaryota; Metazoa; Chordata; Mammalia; Artiodactyla; Suidae.